Molecule: long non-coding RNA, 774 nt
Organism: Ornithodoros turicata
Lineage: Eukaryota; Metazoa; Arthropoda; Arachnida; Ixodida; Argasidae
Exons: 2
Source: RefSeq, a predicted model, not a curated record
GGCUAAGUAUGUGUGCCUUCGCUGGAGCGUACUACGUUGCUGCGCGCUCCCGCCGUGAGGAGUGACGUGGCACCAGUGGCACCUCGUAUUCUUCCGCAGUGUAUUCCUCGCUGCUUUCCUGCCUGUUGUGUGCUGUGCAACCUCGCGUUUGAGAAGGAUGACAACCUUGUUUUUUCAGUACAGGCUUAAUGUUUGCUUAAGACAGUGGACGCAUUGCAAAUGGCGGCAGGAGAGAUCGGCUACAUCGGUGAAGUGAUGAUGUGUACAUUACAAGCGAGGCUAAUUGUAUUCUUUCGUUAUAGGUGCACGUGGGACUGUAUCAACUUCAAGGACGUGAGUCGCAAAAUGCUGUACUAUUCUAGCAUUCACGUUUGAACAAUACCAGCGUGAUAUUAACUUCGGUUUCUUCACAGGUAGUUUCCUGUCUCAACGGUCACAUACACGCGUGCAAAACUGUAACUGCUUCGCAUCGAAGUGUGUAUGGUGCCACUAGCUUGGACAAUUGUUCAUCGGCCAUUUCGUUUGAGGAACUGUCGUGUUCGUCACUAAGAAUGAUCUUGGUUGAGCUGUGCAGUGCCUGUUCGGAGUUCCGAGGGCUGUGUGUUCGAUGUUUGGAGUACUGCCUGGUUCAUCGGAGGUUGUCUGUCCAUGCAACAUGUGCUCCAUAUGUGUGUGUUGGGAUUAGUGAACCGUGUAUGCUUUCCAUUCGGCCAACGAUGAUGUACGGGAUUCAAUUUAAAGGUAUGUGCACGGCAAUAAAAUUUGGUGUUUCAA